UUCCCCCUGGAAGUCAGCUCGUGGGGUCCCUCUGAGUCUCCCAUCCUCAUCACUAUCUCCUUUCUCUGUUUCCCUAAGAGAUAGAUGAAGACCGGAUCCCCAAUCCCCUUCUCAAGUCCACUUUGUCCAUGUCUCCACGGCAACGGAAGAAGGUGACGAGGACCACACCUACAAUGAAAGAGCUUCAGAUGAUGGUUGAACAUCACCUGGGACAACAGCAACAGGGAGAGGAACCUGAGGGAGCCGCUGAGAGCACAGGGACCCAGGAGACCUGCCCACCUGAGACCGCAGACACACCAGCGGGGUCAAGGCUGGGGGCCUCUGGG
Molecule: long non-coding RNA, 326 nt
Organism: Pipistrellus kuhlii (Kuhl's pipistrelle)
Lineage: Eukaryota; Metazoa; Chordata; Mammalia; Chiroptera; Vespertilionidae
Exons: 3
Source: RefSeq, a predicted model, not a curated record